This 429-nucleotide ribosomal RNA is filed under the name Actinomycetes bacterium. Its description in RNAcentral is "Actinobacteria bacterium partial 16S ribosomal RNA". It matches the Rfam family "Bacterial small subunit ribosomal RNA", at positions 355 to 776 of the family's 1533-position model. Lineage: Bacteria; Bacillati; Actinomycetota; Actinomycetes. The record is from RNAcentral.
UAGGGAAUCUUCCGCAAUGGGCGAAAGCCUGACGGAGCAACGCCGCGUGAGUGAUGAAGGUCUUCGGAUCGUAAAACUCUGUUAUUAGGGAAGAACAAACGUGUAAGUAACUAUGCACGUCUUGACGGUACCUAAUCAGAAAGCCACGGCUAACUACGUGCCAGCAGCCGCGGUAAUACGUAGGUGGCAAGCGUUAUCCGGAAUUAUUGGGCGUAAAGCGCGCGUAGGCGGUUUUUUAAGUCUGAUGUGAAAGCCCACGGCUCAACCGUGGAGGGUCAUUGGAAACUGGAAAACUUGAGUGCAGAAGAGGAAAGUGGAAUUCCAUGUGUAGCGGUGAAAUGCGCAGAGAUAUGGAGGAACACCAGUGGCGAAGGCGACUUUCUGGUCUGUAACUGACGCUGAUGUGCGAAAGCGUGGGGAUCAAACAGG